This 371-nucleotide ribosomal RNA is filed under the name uncultured organism. Its description in RNAcentral is "bacterial SSU rRNA". It matches the Rfam family "Bacterial small subunit ribosomal RNA", at positions 526 to 896 of the family's 1533-position model. The record is from RNAcentral.
CGGAGGGUGCGAGCGUUAAUCGGAAUUACUGGGCGUAAGGGUGCGUAGGUGGUUCGUUAAGUUAAUUGUGAAAUUCCUGGGCUUAACCUGGGACGGUCAAUUAAGACUGGCGGACUGGAGUAUAGGAGAGGGUAGUGGAAUUUCCGGUGUAGCGGUGAAAUGCGUAGAGAUCGGAAGGAACACCAGUGGCGAAGGCGGCUACCUGGCCUAAUACUGACACUGAGGCACGAAAGCGUGGGGAGCAAACAGGAUUAGAUACCCUGGUAGUCCACGCUGUAAACGAUGUCAACUAGCUGUUGGUCUUAUAGAAGAGACGAGUGGCGCAGCAAACGCGAUAAGUUGACCGCCUGGGGAGUACGGUCGCAAGAUUA